RNAcentral lists this ribosomal RNA (482 nucleotides) under uncultured bacterium. Its description in RNAcentral is "partial 16S ribosomal RNA". It matches the Rfam family "Bacterial small subunit ribosomal RNA", at positions 29 to 507 of the family's 1533-position model. The record is from RNAcentral.
AUUGAACGCUGGCGGCAUGCCUUACACAUGCAAGUCGAACGGAAACGGGCCUUCGGGUGCCGCCGAGUGGCGAACGGGUGGGUAAUACAUCGGAACGUGCCCGAGCGUGGGGGAUAACGAGGCGAAAGCUUUGCUAAUACCGCAUACGAGCUACGGAUUAAAGCAGGGGACCGCAAGGCCUUGCGCGGACGGAGCGGCCGAGGGCAGAUGAGGCAGAUGGGGGGAUAAAAGGUUACCAAGCGGGGGAGCUGUAGCUGGUCUGAAAGGAUGAACAGCCACAUGGUGACUGAGACACGGCCCAGACUCCUACGGGAGGCAGCAGUCGGGAAUUUUGGACAAUGGGCGAAAGCCUGAUCCAGCCAUGUCGCGUGAAGGCUGAAGGCCUCCGGGUUGGAAACUGCUUUUGUCCGGAACGAAAAGCAUUCUUUUAAUACAGGACGGUAAUGACGGUACCGGAAGAAUAAGCACCGGCUAACUUCGUG